Molecule: transfer RNA, 68 nt
Filed under: Marmota monax (woodchuck)
Lineage: Eukaryota; Metazoa; Chordata; Mammalia; Rodentia; Sciuridae
Description: tRNA.Asp
Rfam family: tRNA (bases 5-65)
About the family: Transfer RNA (tRNA) molecules are approximately 80 nucleotides in length. Their secondary structure includes four short double-helical elements and three loops (D, anti-codon, and T loops).
Source: RNAcentral
GGAAUGUGGCUCAGUGGAAGAGUGCUUGCCUGUCAUGCACAAGGCCCUGGGUUCAAUCCCUAGCACCA